GAUGAAGAACGCAGCGAAAUGCGAUAAUUAAUGUGAAUUGCAGAAUUCAGUGAAUCAUCGAGUCUUUGAACGCACAUUGCGCCCCCUGGUAUUCCGGGGGCCAUGCCUGUCCGAGCGUCAUUGCUGCCCUCAAGCCCGGCUUGUGUGUUGGGCCUCGUCCCCCCUCCGGGGGACGGGCCCGAAAGGCAGCGGCGGCACCGUGUCCGGUCCUCGAGCGUAUGGGGCUUUGUCACCCGCUCUGUAGGCCCGGCCGGCGCCUUAGCCGACGACACAAUCUUUUUUUUCAGGUUGACCUCGGAUCAGGUAGGGAUACCCGCUGAACUUAAGCAUAUCAAUAAGCGGAGGA
RNAcentral lists this unclassified non-coding RNA (346 nucleotides) under soil metagenome. Its description in RNAcentral is "partial contains 5.8S ribosomal RNA, internal transcribed spacer 2, and large subunit ribosomal RNA". The stretch from base 1 to 120 matches the Rfam family "5.8S ribosomal RNA", at positions 35 to 154 of the family's 154-position model. The record is from RNAcentral.